This 85-nucleotide transfer RNA is filed under the name Aureliella helgolandensis. RNAcentral describes it as "Planctomycetes bacterium Q31a tRNA-Leu". It matches the Rfam family "tRNA". Rfam says of the family: Transfer RNA (tRNA) molecules are approximately 80 nucleotides in length. The record is from RNAcentral. Lineage: Bacteria; Pseudomonadati; Planctomycetota; Planctomycetia; Pirellulales; Pirellulaceae.
GCCCAGGUGGCGAAAUUGGCAGACGCGCAACGUUGAGGUCGUUGUGGGGGCAACCCCUUGCUGGUUCAACUCCAGUCCUGGGCAC